This 460-nucleotide ribosomal RNA is filed under the name uncultured bacterium. RNAcentral's name for it is "partial 16S ribosomal RNA". It matches the Rfam family "Bacterial small subunit ribosomal RNA", at positions 338 to 795 of the family's 1533-position model. The record is from RNAcentral.
CCUACGGGUGGCAGCAGUGAGGAAUAUUGGUCAAUGGGCGCGAGCCUGAACCAGCCAAGUCGCGUGAGGGAUGAAGGCUCUAUGGAUUGUAAACUUCUUUUAUAAGGGAAUAAAGUGAGGCACGUGUCCUAUUUUGUAUGUACCUGAUGAAUAAGGAUCGGCUAACUCCGUGACAGCAGCCGCGGUAAUACGGAGGAUCCGAGCGUUAUCCGGAUUUAUUGGGUUUAAAGGGAGCGUAGAUGGGUUUUUAAGUCAGCUGUGAAAGUUUGAGGCUCAACCGUAGAAUUGCCGUUGAAACUGGGAGACUUGAGAACAGUUGAGGCAGGCGGAAUUCGUGGUGUAGCGGUGAAAUGCUUAGAUAUCACGCAGAACUCCGAUUGCGAAGGCAGCCUACUAAGCUAUCACUGACGCUGAUGCACGAAAGCGUGGGGAUCAAACAGGAUUAGAUACCCUAGUAGUC